GGAGGAUGAGGUGGAGAAAGCGGUGGUGUCGAGGUCGCCGGCGGGCAGCGGUGGAGGAGUAGGACGGAAGGGGAUAGUGAGGAAGGUACUCCCGGACGUGUUAGGGUUAUUGAAUUCCCGUUUAUGGAGCCUGUGGGGUCCGAACCUGUGAAAGCAGCAGCGAAUUGUUUAAUUUUUUGUGGUUUUUUGCGGGGGAGGAGGGGGGGGGGGGCAGCCAUUAAAUUUUUU
RNAcentral lists this long non-coding RNA (228 nucleotides) under Linum usitatissimum (flax). Its description in RNAcentral is "long non-coding RNA (LUSI_LNC000319)". Lineage: Eukaryota; Viridiplantae; Streptophyta; Magnoliopsida; Malpighiales; Linaceae. The record is from RNAcentral.